UACAGGGGGUGCAAACGUUGCUCGGAAUCAUUGGGCGUAAAGCGCACGUAGGCGGUCUGUUAUGUCGGAUGUGAAAGCCCUUGGCUUAACUGAGGAAGUGCAUCCGAAACUGGCAGGCUAGAGUACUAAAGAGGGUCGCGGAAUUCCCGGUGUAGAGGUGAAAUUCGUAGAUAUCGGGAGGAACACCGGUGGCGAAGGCGGCGACCUGGGUAGAUACUGACGCUGAGGCGCGAAAGCUAGGGGAGCAAACAGG
RNAcentral lists this ribosomal RNA (253 nucleotides) under uncultured bacterium. Its description in RNAcentral is "partial 16S ribosomal RNA". It matches the Rfam family "Bacterial small subunit ribosomal RNA", at positions 524 to 776 of the family's 1533-position model. The record is from RNAcentral.